Molecule: long non-coding RNA, 2815 nt
Organism: Haplochromis burtoni (Burton's mouthbrooder)
Lineage: Eukaryota; Metazoa; Chordata; Actinopteri; Cichliformes; Cichlidae
Exons: 2
Source: RefSeq, a predicted model, not a curated record
ACGCCGGACUUCAACUCGCACACUGGGAAAAGACGAAUAACAAAUCGCUCGUCAUUGACCACCAUCAGAGAGAGGAGCUCCUAGCAAAUUUUAAAGAGGCAAUCCGCAUCCCCACCGUGUCAUUCUCAAAUACAGAAAGCAACACCACUGCGCUGCAUGAAUUUGACAGAUUCCUCCGAAAAGGUAAACCUGCCAGUAAAACGUGCUUAAAGUAACUUUCUUUUAUAUAUAAUGUGCUCAACGUGGAACUAGCUGAUGGCUGUAACUCUAAACGUUAAUGUAGUUUUUGUAUGUCAAACUUGUAGAGCGCUAAUAAAUGGAUAAAGACGCAGUUAAUGUUUGCUGUGCAGAUGUACUUUGUUCCGUACACCUUAUUCAGAAUUAACCUUUCCACGUCUUGCUGAGCCAAGGUAUGUCGAAACGCUACACCGAGAUGCACGUGGUUCAAAACACUCAAGUCACAUGACCCAUGACCCUUUGUCGACCAAGAGCACCUGGCUGCAGCCACUGUGGAGCUAACAGUCUAAAAAACUUAAGGAAUUAUUCACUAAUGCUUUCCCCCCAUAUAGAUCAAAUCCAAAUUCCAUUUCACAACCGUUCUCCUGUGAUCAAAAGAAAGAAAUCAGAGCAAAUUACCUAAAACUUCCCAUUCCUCCAAAAGCUAAGGAGGUCCAUUAUGAAAUACUCCCAGGCGUUUACCGUUCCAAAGAAUUUCUCAGACAUCGUUUUCCUAUUGAUAAUAAGUCUUGUUCUUUCUGUAAUGCGAAUAUUGAUUCGACAGAACUUUUAUUUUACGAAUGUAUAUACUGUAAAGCCCCGUGGGACGAUGUGCACUACUGGCUUUUCCCAAAGAUUCCAAACUUACUUGAAUUUUCUAAAAAUGAUAUUAUUUUUGAAUCUCAAAGAAAAGAAAAGAAACUUGAAAAUGUCUUAAAUGUGAUAAUUAUUAUGGGUUCAUUCAUAAAUGUCGAUUUCUGAAAACUAAGCCAUCCUUUUUCACUUUUCACGAAGAACUCUGCCUCUUCUUCUCAUCUGCAAAGUUUAUGGACAAAAAACAAGCUGUGGAUCUGCAUCACAUGGUCAAUGAACUAAAGCUUUUAGAAAACCCCUAGGUUAUAAUUGUAUUUUUUGUCUUUUAAUUUUCAAUUUAAUUUUUAUUAAUUUUACUUAUUUAUUUCUUUAGUUACUUAUGUUUAUAUUAUUUUCAUUAUCUGUCUUUUAUAUUUUGAAAUACAGGCUGUUCUGGUAUUAUCUCAAGUUGGAAAAAGUCUCUAAAAUGUUGCCAUAUUUGUUGUACUUGUUACAUUUGUUUAAUUAAUAAAAAACAAACAAACAAAAAAAAUUGCGGAGCUCCACAGUAACCGGAAACAUGUGACUUCAAAUUUGAACACAGUUACGUUGCACAAGCCGUGUCUCAAUAUGUGCGCUUGUGUGUACACAAUACAUAUAAAAAGUUUGAAAUAUUACUCUUUCUGGGUCACAAAAUAAACUUUUAGGACAUCAGGUGAGAAUGUAGCUUUGUAAACUUCAAAUAUCUGCUCGAUUUAUCAAGACAUCACACAUUUGCCAAAGUGGGACGACGUUUUCGGAGACGUCUGUUACCCAUCAGCUUGAUAGCUGACCUGGGAGGUCAAGGCUCACUAGACCGGGCGACAAUAGCGGACAUCAUUUUCAAACCCCCCCUGUGGUCUUUCGCUACUCAAGUUAAACAUGAUAUUUAAGUCAAUUAGAUCAUUUAAAAAUGUUAUUGUUUGUUUUUUGUCAGUGUUUCAUUUGUUCCUGAGCUAAUCAGUUUGGCUCAGAUUAAGCUUCAUAACUGGACUGUUUUAUUUAAUACUGAAGUCUUACUUGUAGAGCUGUCAGUAUACUUUAAAUUUCACCUGUUAUACCGCCUGAUGUAAAAUGUUCUGUUCUUUUUUAAACAGCUGACUCUGAAUUAAAUAUAACAUUAAAAAUAUUUAAAUUCAAGAGGAAACAUUUUCACUGGGAGCAAAAACAACAUGUUAAUGCGUGGAGAUCCUGACGGCUGCUCCAAAAAUGAUCCGAUUAUAUUUUAAAUAUUUGUUCAAUUCUCUUCCAAACCUCAGCUGUCUAUUGUAAGGGUCAGUGUCUAUUAAAAUAAAUAUAAAAGUGUUCUAACAUCUCACCUCUUUCUUAUUAUUCAGGCAUACAUGUAUACUAUUUUUAUUAAUAGAGAGAUUAAGCUUGUGUUUUCAUACAUGCAGUAAUUGUGCUUAACUGCAUGAAGCUCUUUAGACAUUAUGGAACAGAUCAUACAUAAAAGCGAAUUUUGCCAGAGUGCUUAAGAUACUUUUUAAAAAUUAUCUUUAAAAAACAAAAAAAGAGAGAAGAUCAAAAACAUAAUGUGUAAUUUCCAUUGUAAAUAUUAAUCACAGUUAAAUUAAGAGGGGAUGGCAGUAAAAACUCCGGAACGGUGAUGUCAUCUAGUAUGCUGCUGUUCUAAUAGACUAUGUGCACCUUAGCAUAUGCUACUUCCGUUGGGGAAACUCCUGUAGGGCGCUUCGUUUCCGGUGUGAUAUUCGCAUCUUGUUUAUUUUCGGGUUUUCCAAAACAAGCCAAGCGGCGAUUUACAUUUCUCAAGGUGUCUUGGGCAUUUACUGAAUAUAUCUGUAGAUGAUGUUCAUCGACUUGUUGAUAUUUUUCCCUCGCGCCUCAGAGCAAAAGAGAGAAGAGAUUGAAAUUUCUUAGUAUUUGUAUAUAGAGUUCCCUCAUUUAUCGCGGGUGUUGUUCUAAAAAUAACCAGCGAUAGGUGAAAUCUGCGAAGUAGCCAGCUUUAUUUUUUACAAUUUUUUUU